Molecule: ribosomal RNA, 255 nt
Filed under: uncultured bacterium
Lineage: Bacteria
Description: partial 16S ribosomal RNA
Rfam family: Bacterial small subunit ribosomal RNA
Source: RNAcentral
UACGUAGGGGGCGAGCGUUGUCCGGAUUCAUUGGGCGUAAAGCGCGCGUAGGCGGCUUCGUAAGUCGGCCGUGAAAUCUCCAGGCUUAACUUGGAGGGGUCGGGCGAGACUGCGGAGCUCGAGGUGGGCAGAGGGCAGUGGAAUUCCGGGUGUAGUGGUGGAAUGCGUAGAGGAUCCGGAGGAACACCAGUGGCGAAGGCGGCUCACUGGCCCGGUACUGACGCUGAGGUGCGAAAGCGUGGGGAGCAAACAGGG